Molecule: ribosomal RNA, 549 nt
Filed under: uncultured bacterium
Lineage: Bacteria
Description: bacterial SSU rRNA
Rfam family: Bacterial small subunit ribosomal RNA
Source: RNAcentral
GCAUCACGCCGCGUGAGGAUGAAGCCUUCGGGUUGUAAACCUCUUUUAGUUGGGAAAAGCGAAAGUGACGGUACCAACAGAAAAAGCACCGGCUAACUACGUGCCAGCAGCCGCGGUAAUACGUAGGGUGCAAGCGUUGUCCGGAAUUAUUGGGCGUAAAGAGCUCGUAGGCGGUUUGUCGCGUCUGCUGUGAAAAUCCAAGGCUCAACCUUGGACCUGCAGUGGGUACGGGCAAGCUAGAGUGCGGUAGGGGAGAAGGGAAUUCCUGGUGUAGCGGUGGAAUGCGCAGAUAUCAGGAGGAACACCAAUGGCGAAGGCACUUCUCUGGGCCGUAACUGACGCUGAGGAGCGAAAGCGUGGGGAGCGAACAGGAUUAGAUACCCUGGUAGUCCACGCCGUAAACGGUGGGUGCUAGUUGUGGGUCACAUUCCACGUGAUCCGUGACGCAGCUAACGCAUUAAGCACCCCGCCUGGGGAGUACGGUCGCAAGACUAAAACUCANAGGAAUUGACGGGGGCCCGCACAAGCGGCGGAGCAUGCGGAUUAUUC